RNAcentral lists this ribosomal RNA (254 nucleotides) under uncultured bacterium. RNAcentral's name for it is "partial 16S ribosomal RNA". It matches the Rfam family "Bacterial small subunit ribosomal RNA", at positions 524 to 776 of the family's 1533-position model. The record is from RNAcentral.
UACGUAGGGUGCGAGCGUUGCCCGGAUUUAUUGGGCGUAAAGGGCGCGUAGGCGGCCACGCACGUCCGUUGUGAAAUCGCCCGGCUCAACUGGGCGGGGUCAGCGGAUACGGUGUGGCUCGAGCAAGCUAGGGGGCAAUGGAAUUCCUGGUGUAGCGGUGGAAUGCGCAGAUAUCAGGAGGAACACCGAUGGCGAAGGCAGAUCUCUGGGCCGUAAUUGACGCUGGAGGAGCGAAAGCCUGGGGAGCGAACAGG